CAGCCGCCGCGGUAAUACGUAGGGGGCAAGCGUUGUCCGGAAUCAUUGGGCGUAAAGAGCGUGUAGGCGGCUCGGUAAGUCCGCUGUGAAAGUCCAGGGCUCAACCCUGGAAUGCCGGUGGAAACUGUCAGGCUGGAGUCUUGUAGAGGGGGGUGGAAUUCCAGGUGUAGCGGUGAAAUGCGUAGAGAUCUGGAGGAAUACCGGUGGCGAAGGCGGCCCCCUGGACAAAGACUGACGCUCAGGUGCGAAAGCGUGGGGAGCAAACAGGAUUAGAUACCCCUGUAGUCCCUGUCUCUUAUAA
This 301-nucleotide ribosomal RNA is filed under the name uncultured bacterium. RNAcentral's name for it is "partial 16S ribosomal RNA". It matches the Rfam family "Bacterial small subunit ribosomal RNA", at positions 509 to 809 of the family's 1533-position model. The record is from RNAcentral.